UAACGUAGCGGCGUGCUUACACAUGCAGUCGAACGAGGUCCAUCCGAUCUUCGGAUUGGUGAAGACCUAGUGGCGAACGGGUGCGUAACACGUGAGAAACCUGCCCCGGUCUCUGGGAUAACAGUUGGAAACGACUGCUAAUACCGGAUGCCGUCGGACCGUCGCAUGGCGGACCGACGAAAGGGUUACCGGAUCGGGAGGGUCUCGCGGCCUAUCAGCUUGUUGGUGAGGUAACGGCUCACCAAGGCAUCGACGGGUAGCUGGUCUGAGAGGAUGAUCAGCCACACUGGCACUGAGACACGGGCCAGACUCCUACGGGAGGCAGCAGUGAGGAAUAUUGCACAAUGGAGGAAACUCUGAUGCAGCAACGCCGCGUGGAGGAUGACGCAUUUCGGUGUGUAAACUCCUUUUAUAUAGGAAGAUAAUGACGGUACUAUAUGAAUAAGCACCGGCUAACUUCGUGCCAGCAGCCGCGGUAAUACGAAGGGACCUAGCGUAGUUCGGAAUUACUGGGCUUAAAGAGUUCGUAGGUGGUUGAAAAAGUUAGUGGUGAAAUCCCAGAG
Molecule: ribosomal RNA, 563 nt
Filed under: uncultured bacterium
Lineage: Bacteria
Description: bacterial SSU rRNA
Rfam family: Bacterial small subunit ribosomal RNA
Source: RNAcentral